GAUUAGCUAGUUGGUAGGGUAAUAGCCCUACCAAGGCGACGAUCCGUAGCUGGUCUGAGAGGACGAUCAGCCACACUGGGACUGAGACACGGCCCAGACUCCUACGGGAGGCAGCAGUGGGGAAUAUUGGACAAUGGGGGGAACCCUGAUCCAGCAAUGCCGCGUGUGUGAAGAAGGCCUUCGGGUUGUAAAGCACUUUCAGUGGGGAAGAAAUUCUCAAGUCUAAUACCCUUGAGCGUUGACGUUACCCACAGAAGAAGCACUGGCUAACUCUGUGCCAGCAGCCGCGGUAAUACAGAGAGUGCAAGCGUUAAUCGGAAUCACUGGGCGUAAAGCGCGCGUAGGUGGAUAUUUAAGUCGGAUGUGAAAGCCCUAGGCUUAACCUGGGAAUUACAUCCGAUACUAGGUAUCUCGAGUAUGAUAGAGGGAAGUGGAAUUUCCGGUGUAGCGGUGAAAUGCGUAGAUAUCGGAAAGAACAUCAGUGGCGAAGGCGGCUUCCUGGAGCAAUACUGACACUGAGGCGCGAAAGCGUGGGGAGCAAACAGGAUUAGAGACCCUGGUAGUCCACGCUGUCAACGAUGAGAACUAGCUGUUGGAAAGUUUACUUUCUAGUAGCAAAGCUAACGCGUUAAGUUCUCCGCCUGGGGAGUACGGC
Molecule: ribosomal RNA, 655 nt
Filed under: Coxiella endosymbiont of Rhipicephalus sanguineus
Lineage: Bacteria; Pseudomonadati; Pseudomonadota; Gammaproteobacteria; Legionellales; Coxiellaceae
Description: bacterial SSU rRNA
Rfam family: Bacterial small subunit ribosomal RNA
Source: RNAcentral